AAUAUUGGACAAUGGGGGCAACCCUGAUCCAGCCAUGCCGCGUGUGUGAAGAAGGUCUGCGGAUUGUAAAGCACUUUAAGUUGGGAGGAAGGGCUUUCGGUGAGUACACAGAAGUUUUGACGUUACCAACAGAAUAAGCACCGACUAACUCUGUGCCAGCAGCCGCGGUAAUACAGAGGGUGCAAGCUUUAAUCGGAAUUACUGGGCGUAAAGCGCGCGUAGGUGGUUCAGUAAAAUGGGUGUGAAAUCCCCGGGCUUAACCUGGGAACUGCUUUCAUAACUGCUGAGCUAGAGUACGGUAGAGGGUAGUGGAAUUUCCUGUGUAGCGGUGAAAUGCGUAGAUAUAGGAAGGAACACCAGUGGCGAAGGCGACUACCUGGACUGAUACUGACACUGAGGUGCGAAAGCGUGGGGAGCAAAC
This 421-nucleotide ribosomal RNA is filed under the name uncultured bacterium. RNAcentral's name for it is "partial 16S ribosomal RNA". It matches the Rfam family "Bacterial small subunit ribosomal RNA", at positions 360 to 773 of the family's 1533-position model. The record is from RNAcentral.